RNAcentral lists this long non-coding RNA (3803 nucleotides) under Sus scrofa (pig). RNAcentral describes it as "lncRNA (ENSSSCG00025017203.1)". Lineage: Eukaryota; Metazoa; Chordata; Mammalia; Artiodactyla; Suidae. The record is from RNAcentral.
GCCCUUCAGCGCGGGUGGAAGAUGGCGUCCGCUACUCGUGUCAUCCAGCUGCUGCGGAACUGGGCAUCCGGGCGAGACUUACAGGCGAAGCUGCAGCUGCGUUACCAGGAGAUCUCCAAGCGGUGAGCAAGCCCCGCUCGCUGCCCAGACUCCAAUCCUGUCGUUCCUCCAUCAAAAACAAAACCCGUGUUCUUUUAGACGCUGAAACGCUGGGCCUAAAUCCUGCCUCCAGCUCCAUAGCCGGCUCAUGGAAGGAGAGAUGUGCCUUUAAUCUUGCUGGACUAUGUCAGAGAAUGCCGCUCUUGGAAUACCCAGAAUGGGCGUGGAUUCUGAGUAGGAAUUAUCAGUGAGAUUUGCAGUCCUCAGUGUGGUCCUGCUAUUUGGUGUUAACAUCCCCAAGCUACAGAUGAAAAUGUUCGCGUCUAGGAGGGACUAAGUCAUUAGCUUAAAAUCACUCGAAAACCAGAAAGUUACAGUGGGGAUUAGAACCUAGAAAUGUCUGGAUUUGAAACUCUUUUGAUUUUGAGUCCAAAAAUUACUUGACAUUUACAAGACCCGCAUUUACAAAUCUCAGCCCUUGGGGAGAUCAGUGUGAACAAGAAAAGCUCUUCUGGUUUCUUUCAUGGAGCUCAUAUCCUAGGGAGAGGGAGAAACAACAUAGGGAAAUAAACACACCAAGUUAAAACAAAAACAAAACAGUUUUCUAGAAUGCUCUGAAGACAAGACAAAAUGAAUAAGAACUCAGCCUCCUCCCAAGCUCCCCGUGGGCCCCAGCCACAAACUCUCCAAUAAUUACUACUGCACUCGCGAUGGCCGCCGGGAAGCCAUGCCGCCCUCCAUCGUCAUGUCCUCACAGAAGGUGCUGGCAUCGGGCAAGCCAGCAGAGAGCUCAGCUGUGGCAGAGACUGAGAAGAAAGCUGUGACGCCGGCUCCUCCCAUAAAGAGGUGGGAGUUGUCCAAGGAUCAGCCAUACCUGUGACACUGCCCUGGGGCACCUGGCUAAGCCCUCAGGGCCACCAGAAUGCUUCUCACUCCUUGGACUCCUUGGAUUCCCUCUGGGGAGAAUGUGACCUAAUUUAUAAAAAUAUAUAUAUUGUGCUCUCCAGUAUAGCUUCUGAUUUUACUUUUGAAGGGACUCAUGGCUUGAACUUCAUGGUGAAAUCGAUGCUGAGUCUCUUAAUCACAAGCUCCAGGAGCAGGGGAGGGUUGUGGUUCUUGAGCUCAGGGUGACAUGCUGUCACUGGGCACAGAGGUGUCACCAUCCCUUCCUCGAGGUCUUGGCUCUAUGCCUGAGAGUGGUGGAGUAGGUUCCAGAACCUCUGGGUGCUUGAGGGGCACUGACUAUAAAAGGACAUGGGCAAGGUUCCUCUUGUGGCUCAGCAGGUUAAGAACGCUAUUAGUGUCCAUGAGGAUGUAGGUGUGAUCCCUGGCCCCACUUGGUGGGUUAAGGAUUGGGUGUUGCAGUGAGCUGUGGUAUGGGUCAGCAGCUGUAGCUCUGAUUCAACCUCUAGCCUAGGAACUUCCAUAUGCUGGGGUGGGGCCCUGAAAAGCCAAAAAAAAAAAAAUUCCUGAAUCAAGUGUUACGACCCAGCCCCCUUCUGGCAAGUGAAGUUGCAGUGAAAUGAUGGUUGUCAAUGAGGAAUCAGUUCCUUUUUUAUCUUUUCCUUUUUACAGCCACACCUGUGGCAUAUGGAAGUUCUCGGGCUAAGGGUCAGAUCAGAGGUACAGCUGCCGGCCUACACCAUGGUCACCACCAGAUCUGGUCCACAUCUAACACAAGCUGUAGCAACGCUGGAUUUGCAACCCAUUGAGCAAGGCCAGGGAUCAAACUCACAUCCUCACAGACACUAUGUCAGAGCCACAAAGGGGACUCCAAGUGGGUCCUCACCAGACACCACAUCUGCUGGCAUCAUGAUCUUGGACUUCCUAGUUUCCAGGACUGUGAGAAAAUAAAUGUUUGUUGUUUAUAAGCUCUCCCCCACCUAAUCCCCCAAAAGUUUUAUGACACAGGCUUGAAAUUUGACACUGAAGUGCAGAAGGAAAGACAUCUGACAUCUCCUGAGCUCUUCCUGUGUGCCAUGCAUUAUAGCUGUGAUUUCAGCUCUUUCCCAGAGCAAUCCUGUGAAGUCCUAGCCGUUGUUAAACCCUUUUGCCCUGGACAGAAGAACCAAGGUGUGGCAAGACCAAGUACUCUUUCAGGCUCACAGAGCUGGCUCUGAACCCAGCUGCUGGUGAGUCUGCUACACACUGUCAGCUGCUAUGUAAAUCUACAGCUUCUUCAACUUUCCUCCCUUAACCUCAGGUGCCAACCUCACCAAGCAGCCUCCUCUCCUUCCCUUUCCCUCCCCUCCCCUCCUGCAGGCAGUUGUAUUUGCUGCUGUUUCCAUCUGCCUUUGCACCAGGGCACUUUUGCCUCUUACCCAAUUUCUCCUGGAGAACUGGAGAUUAUCAUGAAUACCUGUGUGUGUGUGUGUGUGUGUGUGUGUGUGUGUGUGUGUGUAUAACAAAAGCAGCUGUAAUCGCCAACAUUUUCGAAUAGAAAGCAUGCCAUGUUGUGCAAUGGCAAAAACAACAAAAUACAGAGCAGCCAAUUGCAUGGAAAACCCUGCAGAAAUUGUAUUUUAUGUGCCUAAGGGGUGAGCACGGGAGAAGAGAAAACCCAGGCUGCUUUUGUUUUACUUGUUCCUAAAGUAAAGUGUAAGACUCACCUCCCUAUGAGUAGUCUAUGAGAAUUAUUUAAAGGGAGCAGGGCCUUAUGAUCCUUCUCCCCUACCCCCAUCUUCUCCUCUCACCUUUUUUUUGGAGGGGGUGCUUUUUAAGGCUGCACCCACAGCAUAUGGAGGUUCCCAGGCUGGGGGGUCCAAUCAGAGCUCAACUGCUGACCUAUACCACAGCUCACCUCAACGCCAGAUCCUUAACCCACUGAGCGAGGCCAGGGAUUGAACCCGCAACCUCGUAGGUUCCUAGUCGGAUUCGUUUCUGCUGUGCCGAGACAGGAACACCUCCUCUCAUCUUUUAUCUGUAGAAACCCUUUAGCCAGAGAAUAACUUUAUUUGGUUUUUUGUUUUUUUUUUUUUUUGCUUUUAUUUUUAGGGCCACACCCGGGGCAUGUGGACGUUCCCAGGCCAGGGGUCAAAUCAGAGCUGCAGAUGCUGGCCUAUACCACAGCCACAGCAAUUAAGGAUCUGAGCUGUGUCUGUGAUCUACACCAUAGCUCAACUGAGCGAGGACAGGGAUCGAACCUGCAUCCUCAUGGAUACUAGUCAGGUUCUUAACCUGCUGAAUCACAGUGGGAAUUCCCAAAGAAUAAGUUUAAUCAGAGAAGUGAGAAAAUGCAGAAGCAAAGGAAAACAAAGACCAAAUAAUAAUACUUUAGUCAUUAAAUAAAGUCAAAGGCCUUUAGUUUCUCCUCAAGGGCUUAGAGAUCAUAUUUUGAACCAUAUCCUUUGAGCUGUUUUGUGGCUACUAAAACCCCCACCAGGUGAAAGAAGUUUGCAUGAUGACCAGACUGUAGCCAUAACAUAGGCUGCCAAGGGAGUACCUGUCGUGGCGCAGUGGUUGACGAAUCCGACUAGGAACCAUGAGGUUGCGGGUUCGGUCCCUGCCCUUGCUCAGUGGGUUAACGAUCCGGCGUUGCCGUGAGCUGUGGUGUAGGUUGCAGACGCGGCUCGGAUCCCACGUUGCUGUGGCUCUGGCGUAGGCUGGCGGCUACAGCUCCGAUUGGACCCCUAGCCUGGGAACCUCCAUAUGCCCCAAGAAAUAGCAAAAAGACAAAAAACAAACAAACAAAAAAAACAAAAAAA